AUUGAACGCUGGCGGCAUGCCUUACACAUGCAAGUCGAACGGCAGCGGACCUUCGGGUGCCGGCGAGUGGCGAACGGGUGAGUAAUGCAUCGGAACGUGCCAUUGAGUGGGGGAUAACGUAGCGAAAGUUGCGCUAAUACCGCAUAUUCUGUGAGCAGGAAAGCAGGGGACCGCAAGGCCUUGCGCUCUUUGAGCGGCCGAUGUCAGAUUAGCUAGUUGGUGAGGUAACGGCUUACCAAGGCGACGAUCUGUAGCGGGUCUGAGAGGAUGAUCCGCCACACUGGAACUGAGACACGGUCCAGACUCCUACGGGAGGCAGCAGUGGGGAAUUUUGGACAAUGGGGGCAACCCUGAUCCAGCCAUGCCGCGUGAGUGAAGAAGGCCUCGGGUU
RNAcentral lists this ribosomal RNA (391 nucleotides) under uncultured bacterium. Its description in RNAcentral is "bacterial SSU rRNA". It matches the Rfam family "Bacterial small subunit ribosomal RNA", at positions 30 to 424 of the family's 1533-position model. The record is from RNAcentral.